RNAcentral lists this ribosomal RNA (253 nucleotides) under uncultured bacterium. Its description in RNAcentral is "partial 16S ribosomal RNA". It matches the Rfam family "Bacterial small subunit ribosomal RNA", at positions 524 to 776 of the family's 1533-position model. The record is from RNAcentral.
UACGUAGGUGGCAAGCGUUGUCCGGAUUUACUGGGCGUAAAGAGCGCGCAGGCGGUCGUUCAAGUCGCGUGUGAAAGCCCCCGGCUCAACUGGGGAGGGUCACGCGAUACUGAUCGACUCGAAGGCAGGAGAGGGUAGUGGAAUUCCCGGUGUAGUGGUGAAAUGCGUAGAUAUCGGGAGGAACACCGGUGGCGAAGGCGGGUCUCUGGGCCGUAACUGACGCUGAGGAGCGAAAGCGUGGGGAGCGAACAGG